This 253-nucleotide ribosomal RNA is filed under the name uncultured bacterium. RNAcentral describes it as "partial 16S ribosomal RNA". It matches the Rfam family "Bacterial small subunit ribosomal RNA", at positions 524 to 776 of the family's 1533-position model. The record is from RNAcentral.
UACGAAGGGGGCUAGCGUUGUUCGGAAUUACUGGGCGUAAAGGGCGCGUAGGCGGCCCGCUAAGUCGAACGUGAAAUCCCCAGGCUCAACCUGGGGACUGCGUCCGAUACUGGCAGGCUUGAAUCCGGGAGAGGGAUGUGGAAUUCCAGGUGUAGCGGUGAAAUGCGUAGAUAUCUGGAGGAACACCGGUGGCGAAGGCGGCAUCCUGGACCGGUAUUGACGCUGAGGCGCGAAAGCUAGGGGAGCAAACGGG